RNAcentral lists this ribosomal RNA (208 nucleotides) under uncultured bacterium. RNAcentral describes it as "partial 16S ribosomal RNA". It matches the Rfam family "Bacterial small subunit ribosomal RNA", at positions 568 to 775 of the family's 1533-position model. The record is from RNAcentral.
CGCGUAGGCGGUUUCGUAAGUCCUGUGUGAAAGCCCCCGGCUCAACUGGGGAACUGCACGGGAAACUGCGAGGCUUGAGUUCGGGAGAGGGAAGCGGAAUUCCGGGUGUAGCGGUGAAAUGCGUAGAUAUCCGGAGGAACACCGGUGGCGAAGGCGGCUUCCUGGACCGAUACUGACGCUGAGGCGCGAAAGCUAGGGGAGCAAACGG